RNAcentral lists this unclassified non-coding RNA (276 nucleotides) under uncultured Ascomycota. Its description in RNAcentral is "sequence contains ITS1". Lineage: Eukaryota; Fungi; Ascomycota. The record is from RNAcentral.
GAGUAUGAGCUGGUGUCGUACGGCAAGGACGGCCAGCCCGGCGGCGCCGGCGAGAACGCGGACAUCGUCUACUAGCUAUGUCGCUUCUGCCGAUCGGUCGCCACGGAGAACCCUGUAAAUGUCUCCAUCCGUCACGAGCCGACGAACAGCAGUUUCCGAUGCCCCGGGCGGGCACUGCGGGGGCCGGCCGCGGUGUAAAGUCCUGUGACUUUAAGCACAUAUGGGGCGGGACCGCUGCGGGGUCGCCAAGGACCUCGCCGCCGGUGGAAGCACGAU